RNAcentral lists this ribosomal RNA (1068 nucleotides) under Triticum aestivum (bread wheat). RNAcentral's name for it is "partial small subunit ribosomal RNA". Lineage: Eukaryota; Viridiplantae; Streptophyta; Magnoliopsida; Poales; Poaceae. The record is from RNAcentral.
AUGGAGAACUGCUGUGUGCAAAAGCUGGCCAGCGCCCUCGGGACGCCCGACGUGCCCACCCGGUACGUCGUGCGCGGGCACCAGGACCAGCAGCUCACCACGACGGUCGUAGCGCCGGUCCCUGUCAUCAACCUCAGCCUCCUUUCCAAGCAGGACGGAGGCGCUGCUGAUGAGGCGGCGAAGCUCCGCUCAGCUAUCGAUUCCUGGGGCCUCUUCCUGAUCAGUAACCACGGCGUAGACGCGGCGGUGAUGGACGGCAUGAUGGCCGCGUGCAGGGAGUUUUUCCGGCAGCCGCUUGAAGAGAAGCAGAGGCAAAGCAACCUGAUCGGAGAUGAUCAGUACGAGGGGUACGGGAACUACGAGGGGUAUGGGAACGACCAGGUGUCCUCGCCGGACGAGACCCUAGACUGGACUGACCGUCUCUACCUCAAGGUGGAGCCCGAGGAUGAGCGGCGCAUUGCCCUCUGGCCAGCGCAUCCCGAAGGCUUCAGGGAUGUUCUGCACGAGUUCACGAAGAAAUGUGGGGCAGUGAAGGACAAUGUGCUCCGGGCAAUGGCGAAGCUGCUGGAGCUUGACGACAACGACUACUUCGUGGACCAGCUUGUGGAGAAGCCUUUCACUAACGCUCGAUGCAGUUACUACCCGGUGUGUCCGAGGCCGGAGCUCGUGUUCGGCCUCACGCCCCACUCUGAUGGAACCGUUGUUGCUGUCCUCAUGGUUGAUGACAGCGUUGGUGGCCUGCAAGUUCUCAGAGAUGGGGUCUGGUGGGAUGUACCAAUCGUACCUCACACACUGCUGAUGAUUAUAGGUGAUCAAAUGGAGAUAAUGAGCAAUGGGAUCUUUAGGAGCCCUGUGCAUAGGGUUAUGACAAACGCAAAGAAAGAGAGGAUAUCGGUGGUUCUAGACUACUCUGUUGAUCCUGAGAAAGAAAUCGAGCCAUCGGCUCAACUGGUCAAUGAGAAGAGACCAGCCUUGUACAGAAAAGUGAAGGUCAAAGACUACAUUGUGGCACAUUACACUCAUUUUUCUCAAGGGAAAGAAGUUGUUAUGGGUAAACUAAAGAUAUAA